CCUACGGGAGGCAGCAGUAGGGAAUAUUGCUCAAUGGGGGAAACCCUGAAGCAGCAACGCCGCGUGGAGGAUGAAGGUUUUAGGAUUGUAAACUCCUUUUGUGAGAGAAGAUAAUGACGGUAUCCCACGAAUAAGCACCGGCCAACUUCGUGCCAGCAGCCGCGGUAAUACGGUGGGUGCAAGCGUUACUCGGAAUCACUGGGCGUAAAGGGUGCGCAGGCGGGCUUGUAAGUCAGAUGUGAAAUCCUGUAGCUUAACUACAGAACUGCAUUUGAAACUGUGGGUCUAGAGUGUGGGAGAGGUAGGUGGAAUUCUUGGUGUAGGGGUAAAAUCCGUAGAUAUCAAGAAGAAUACUCAUUGCGAAGGCGACCUACUGGAACAUUACUGACGCUCAGGCACGAAAGCGUGGGGAGCGAACAGGAUUAGAUACCCGAGUAGUC
RNAcentral lists this ribosomal RNA (440 nucleotides) under uncultured bacterium. RNAcentral describes it as "partial 16S ribosomal RNA". It matches the Rfam family "Bacterial small subunit ribosomal RNA", at positions 338 to 795 of the family's 1533-position model. The record is from RNAcentral.